Molecule: ribosomal RNA, 247 nt
Filed under: uncultured bacterium
Lineage: Bacteria
Description: partial 16S ribosomal RNA
Rfam family: Bacterial small subunit ribosomal RNA
Source: RNAcentral
AUACGUAGGGGGCGAGCGUUGUCCGGAAUUACUGGGCGUAAAGGGUGCGUAGGUGGCCUUUUAAGUUGGAUGUGAAAUACCCGGGCUUAACCUGGGGGGUGCAUCUAAUACUGGGAGGCUAGAGUGCAGGAGAGGAAAGCGGAAUUCCUAGUGUAGCGGUGAAGUGCGUAGAUAUUAGGAGGAACACCAGUGGCGAAGGCGGCUUUCUGGACUGUAACUGUCACUGAGGCACGAAAGCGUGGGGAGC